GACGAACGCUGGCGGCGUGCUUAACACAUGCAAGUCGAACGGAAAGGCCUCUUUCGGGGGGUACUCGCGUGGCGAACGGGUGAGUAACACGUGAGUAACCUGCCCUUCACUUUGGGAUAACUUCAGGAAACUGGGGGUAAUACCUGCUAGAUGCUCCUGCUGCAUGGUGGGGGUUGGAAAGUUUCGGCGGUUGGGGGUGGCCUGGCGGGUUAUCAGCUUGUUGGUGGGGUAGUGGCUUACCAAGGCUUUGCCGGGUAGCCGGCCUGAGAGGGUGACCGGCCACAUUGAGACUGAGAGACGGCCCAGGUUCCUAAGGGAGGGAGCAGUGGGGAAGAUUGAACAAGGGGUGGAAGCCUGAUGCAGCAACGCCGUGUGCGGGAUGACGGCCUUCGGGUUGUAAACCGCAUUCGCUCAUGACGAAGCUUUGUGUGACGGUAGUGGGUAAAGAAGCACCGGCUAACUACGUG
This 467-nucleotide ribosomal RNA is filed under the name uncultured bacterium. Its description in RNAcentral is "partial 16S ribosomal RNA". It matches the Rfam family "Bacterial small subunit ribosomal RNA", at positions 28 to 507 of the family's 1533-position model. The record is from RNAcentral.